UACGGGGGGUGCGAGCGUUGUCCGGAAUCACUGGGCGUAAAGGGCGCGUAGGUGGUUUGAUAAGGGUGUGGUGAAAGUCCGGGGCUCAACCCCGGAUCUGCCGUGCCAACUGUCAAACUCGAGGGCUGUAGAGGCAGACGGAAUUCCGGGUGUAGCGGUGGAAUGCGUAGAGAUCCGGAGGAAGACCGGUGGCGAAGGCGGUCUGCUGGGCAGUUUCUGACACUGAGGCGCGACAGCGUGGGGAGCAAACAGG
This 253-nucleotide ribosomal RNA is filed under the name uncultured bacterium. RNAcentral's name for it is "partial 16S ribosomal RNA". It matches the Rfam family "Bacterial small subunit ribosomal RNA", at positions 524 to 776 of the family's 1533-position model. The record is from RNAcentral.